GACGAACGCUGGCGGCGUGCCUAAUACAUGCAAGUUGAGCGCUGAAGGUUGGUACUUGUACCGACUGGAUGAGCAGCGAACGGGUGAGUAACGCGUGGGGAAUCUGCCUUUGAGCGGGGGACAACAUUUGGAAACGAAUGCUAAUACCGCAUAAAAACUUUAAACACAAGUUUUAAGUUUGAAAGAUGCAAUUGCAUCACUCAAAGAUGAUCCCGCGUUGUAUUAGCUAGUUGGUGAGGUAAAGGCUCACCAAGGCGAUGAUACAUAGCCGACCUGAGAGGGGGAUCGGCCAACUUGGGACUGAGACACGGCCCAAACCCCUACGGGAGGCAGCAGUAGGGAAUCUUCGGCAAUUGACGAAAGGCUUACCGAGCAACGCCGCGGGAGUGAAGAAGGGUUUCGGAUCGGAAAACUCCGUUGGUAGAGAAGAACGUUGGUGAGAGUGGAAAGCUCAUCAAGUGACGGUAACUACCCAGAAAGCGACGGCUAACUACGUG
This 497-nucleotide ribosomal RNA is filed under the name uncultured bacterium. RNAcentral's name for it is "partial 16S ribosomal RNA". It matches the Rfam family "Bacterial small subunit ribosomal RNA", at positions 28 to 507 of the family's 1533-position model. The record is from RNAcentral.